Molecule: ribosomal RNA, 494 nt
Filed under: uncultured bacterium
Lineage: Bacteria
Description: partial 16S ribosomal RNA
Rfam family: Bacterial small subunit ribosomal RNA
Source: RNAcentral
GACGAACGCUGGCGGCGUGCUUAACACAUGCAAGUCGAACGGAAAGGCCUGUCCUUCCUUGUGUUGGACGGGUACUCGAGUGGCGAACGGGUGAGUAACACGUGAGUGAUCUGCCCCCAACUUGGGUAUAAGCCUGGGAAACUGGGUCUAAUUCCCGAUAGGACUGCAGGGUGGUGCCUGUGGUGGAACACGAUUUUCUAGUGGUUGGGGAUGAGCUCGCGGCCUAUCAGCUUGUUGGUGGGGUAAUGGCCUACCAAGGCGGCGACGGGUAGCCGGCCUGAGAGGGUGGACGGCCACAGUGGGACUGAGAUACGGCCCAGACUCCUACGGGAGGCAGCAGUGGGGAAUAUUGCACAAUGGGCGGAAGCCUGAUGCAGCGACGCCGCGUGGGGGAUGACGGCCUUCGGGUUGUAAACUCCUUUCGACCGCGAGGAAGCCGCCUGGUUGGAAGGGUGGUGACGGUAGUGGUAGAAGAAGCACCGGCUAACUACGUG